This 321-nucleotide ribosomal RNA is filed under the name Triticum aestivum (bread wheat). RNAcentral describes it as "partial small subunit ribosomal RNA". The record is from RNAcentral. Lineage: Eukaryota; Viridiplantae; Streptophyta; Magnoliopsida; Poales; Poaceae.
AUGCCAUCACCCUCCUCCCACUCUGCCUUGUUGUGCUGUUUAUGGAACCACCGUCGGCAUAUGGAACGACGGGGAUGUGCCAAUAUAUGUGUGACACUUUAUGGUCCGAGCGCUCCCAUCAUGGCCACCCGUGGAAGCUCCAUGUCCUCCACGACGGAACGUGUAUAUAAAAAGUUGGUUUCUGCUGCCAGUGGGCUGCUGGAUGACAGAGAUACCUAUAUUUUCGUUUUUAUCGAAUACAUGCGGACAAAAAUAACAAAUUUUAAGCCAGGUGAGGUGCAGAGAUAUAAGAAGCACGUCGCUGCUCGUCUGCCCCACUAG